CCUACGGGUGACAGCAGUGGGGAAUAUUGGACAAUGGGGGGAACCCUGAUCCAGCCAUGCCGCGUGUGUGAAGAAGGCCCUCGGGUUGUAAAGCACUUUCAGUGAGGAAGAACGCCUGGUGGUUAAUACCCAUCAGGAAAGACAUCACUCACAGAAGAAGCACCGGCUAACUCCGUGCCAGCAGCCGCGGUAAUACGGAGGGUGCGAGCGUUAAUCGGAAUUACUGGGCGUAAAGCGCGCGUAGGUGGCUUGAUAAGCCGGUUGUGAAAGCCCCGGGCUCAACCUGGGAACGGCAUCCGGAACUGUCAAGCUAGAGUGCAGGAGAGGAAGGUAGAAUUCCCGGUGUAGCGGUGAAAUGCGUAGAGAUCGGGGGGAAUACCAGUGGCGAAGGCGGCCUUCUGGACUGACACUGACACUGAGGUGCGAAAGCGUGGGUAGCAAACAGGAUUAGAUACCCGGGUAGUC
This 465-nucleotide ribosomal RNA is filed under the name Vreelandella stevensii. Its description in RNAcentral is "partial 16S ribosomal RNA". It matches the Rfam family "Bacterial small subunit ribosomal RNA", at positions 338 to 795 of the family's 1533-position model. Lineage: Bacteria; Pseudomonadati; Pseudomonadota; Gammaproteobacteria; Oceanospirillales; Halomonadaceae. The record is from RNAcentral.